Molecule: long non-coding RNA, 3686 nt
Filed under: Equus caballus (horse)
Lineage: Eukaryota; Metazoa; Chordata; Mammalia; Perissodactyla; Equidae
Description: lncRNA (ENSECAG00000042689.2)
Source: RNAcentral
AGGUAAUUUGGAACAACUCCUCUCUUGAUGACAGCAAGAAAAGCUGGAUUAAAAAAAUCUACUUGAAAGUGUUGGAGACGUAAUAAGAUAGUGAAGAAUUACUGGGCUAGGAUUCGGCAGAAGUGAUAAGCCAGGGAGAUGUGUGAGGACUGAGCGAGUCCUGGGGCUUUUCAUGCCCCAGUAGUAACAAGGACGAGCUGGAGCUGGAGCUGGAGCCAAGCGGUGCUCAGUGUGGGCCUGGGGUGCAGUGCUGCUGGGUUGCACGUGCGUGGAGUCAGGUGGAGCCCGCCUAGAACCGGUUACCACGGUGACAGCUGAAGCAAAACGCAUGGCCAAAGGCUCUGGCGCAGUGAGCUAAGCAUUCUGCAUAUAUUAGCUCUAAUCUCAGCAGCCUCAUGUGGCAGAUGCUGUCCUCACCAUGGAGGCGAGGAAACCGAAGCACAGAGAGGUCUGGAAAAUUUCUGCAGCUGCUGAGUUGGGACUGUUAAGAAAACACUGGCUUCCCAUUAAAGACACGACUUUGCUUCUUUUAAAGAAAAGGUUUUGUAAGUUUUCAAAUAACUUGGAAGAGCUAAACAAACUUAGUAUUAAAGUGGGCCCUGGGGUGGCCCCUGCUGCUGGGUUUGAGGGGACAGGGGCUUGGAGUGGAAACCCACGGGCCUCGGAUCUGGGACUGGAGGAGAAGGAGGCAGCCUGGGGAAUAAAAAGGAAUUCUUUUCCCUGAGACCCUCUACAUCAAAACUGGAAAAUGCCGGGCUGGGGUACUUGCUGGCUGUAAAAAAAGCAUCGUGCAUGUUGUAGGCAAGAGCUGGCAGCCCCUCCCGGGGAAAGCCCUUUAUCUGGGGCCGAGGAGACCUCCUACAAGGCGCCUUUCCCAGACUCCUGAGGGUCUGCAGGAAAAGAGGUCAGAGUUUGGAGUCUCUUGGUGACCAUGCAUCAACUUGUAUUGCUGUUUCCAUCUCAGGAAGCAAAAAAAAAAAAAAAAAAAAAAAAAGGUGUGAGUGCCUGUGUGGGAGGACUGUCGCACACGGUAACCCUAGCAGAAAGCCCGCCAGGGAGCUGACGUCCCUUGCAUUGUGCGUAUGAGAAACUGAGGCCAGAGAAGUGAAGGGAUGUGCCCAGGAGCUCCGAGGUAAAUGGCGUUGAGAUGAGAAUCUGCCAAAACCCAUCUCCCCAUGUGGCCUGCCCCCCUUGAGAUUAGACACGUGGCAUCUGCUCGGGGUGGUGCCUGGUUUCCAGCACCUUCUUCUCCUCUGCAGAGGGGGCUCGUUACAGCUCAAGCUCCCUGGGACAGAAGUAAAUGCCGAGGUGGGGGUUUUUCAUCUCCACAUUACCUGACGUGGAGGAUAGGAGCCAUUCAGUCAGAGAUGCCUUUUUCGGGGGGGAUUUCUCUCCCUAUAGGUAGCUGUAAUUCACACUUCCACCAGCAGGGUGCGCGUGUCUUCUCAUCCUGGCCACACCACGGAAUGUUAUUUUGUUGCCAACCUGAUAGAUGAAACAUACACCUUGGCUUUAGAAAAAUAUACAUUGUUUUCCCAUGGAAAAGUAACACACCCUCAUUAGACACAUUUAGGAAACUGUAGGAAGCGGAAAUAACUGCUGUGCUCCCAAUGCCUCCAGCAGCCUAGGGUGCUCCAAGAAUAUCUGCUGAAUAAGUGAAUGAGGAAAAACAAAUUACCAUGGGUCCACCAAGAAGAAACACUUCUGCCGACCUUUUGACGUGUGUGUUUUCUCUGAGUAUUUUUUCCCACCAAAGUUUAGGUUUGUUUACUUUCAUUAUGUACCCCCCCCCCCCGCAGUUUCUUUUAUCCUGUUUCUUUCACUUCACGUCAGCUGACACAUAUGUUUCCGUCUUCUAGGUGCGGUUUUAAGGGUCUCUAACAUCCUCGCCAGCUUGUGAACCACAGUUUGACUCUUCUGCUGCUGCACUUUUAGGCUGUUUUCCAUUUUUCUCUUCAUAAAGGAUGUGGCUGAUGCCUUUCGGCAGAGAACUCUUUCCAUAUUUCACCUUAUUUCCUAAGGAGAGAGUGUCAGAAGAGGGAUGAACUUGGUCACUUGGUCAAAGUUUUUUCUUUUUUAAUCUGAUUUCAUAUUUCUUAAGAAUGAUGCACCUUAUGAAACAACUUUAUAUCUGUUGAGAAACCUGGUUAAGUUCUUUUUUUAAUAUUGUUUUUAAAAAAGACUUGUUCUGAACAAUAUCCUGUGUCUUUCAGAAAACAGCGGCGGAUAUGAAAGGAGAUUUGUUCCCUCCAAGCUCUUAGGAGACGAUCUGGCUCAGGAAACAGACACAUCAGAUCCUUGCGUGUAUCUGAUGGUUGCCAUGGGAACAAGUCAUUUAACACAAUGCUGGGUUAAAGCAUUGAUCAAUAAGGGAGGGGGCAAGAUUGAAACAAAUUAGUUGGUGUCUGAGCAGGCCGGACAGAUAAUGACAGUAACGGGCAGUGCUCUGCCUGGCCUCCUCCCGUGGCCGGGGCCUGGGCCUGGGCCAGCAGAGGCAGGAGUGGGGUCCCUUCAUCUAGGGUUGGGAUGUGUGGGGCAGAGAACAGAGUCAUAUCAGGCUGAGGAAACUGUUCCCCAAACCAGAUACUGGGGCAAGAGAGGCCUGAGAGGAGUCUGGGGACCUGGGCUCUGGGGGUGAGUGGAACACAAGGCGACAUGGGAAGAAGCUGGGAUGGACCCCAGGGCCUGGGCACAGCCAGUCCCGGCUUCUCCACGCUCCUGCACCAUGUUUGCACAGACGGCUGGGACAUCUUGCCACAUCCUUCAUCUCUCAGGUGUCUGCCAAAGACGCAGCCGCUAACCCCGUGCCCUGUGUUUUGGGCAUGGAUGGGGCAUUCCCUCCUCCUUCUGGGAACCGGAAGCAUCCGGGCUGGCCUGGGAGCCAUCAAGGGCUCAGACUCCGCAUUUGGCAAGACCUGUUUCUAACUGCUACCCCCACCUCCUGGCCGUUGAGCUGGCAAGUCACUGAAGCCCGUGCCCCUCAGUCUUCUCAUCUGUAUGAUGAAGGAACCAUGCGCAGCGUCUGGCUUGGCGCCUGCAACAGAGUCAGCCCUCAGGAUGUAGUAACCUCGCCCUAUUUAUACCAUGUUCGUGUGCCUGGAACAGGCUCCGGGGGCGCCUCGGACCCCAACUGCCACGGCAGCCACACAGCAGGACGAGGAGAGAACAGCCCGUGGGGCCGGAUGCGGCGGGGCUGGGACGCCAGGCAGACGAGAUGCCGGCUGUGCAACCUCCCUGGUCCCUUCACAUCUCUGAGGUGCACUUGGCUCGCGGGUCAAGUGGGGAUACAGCGCCUUUCUCCGGGGGCGCUGAGCGCGGCGAUGAGCGUGGGUAACACAGCCAGGAGUGCUUCUCCCCCGGGGGAACAGGAUUUUCCGGGGUCCGGACACUCACGCCCCCCGGAUCGGCGCCCCGGAGCGCAGGCGCGCGGCGGGGGGCUGCCCCCCAGGCGAAGGGCCCGGCUCGGCAUCUGGAAAGACCCGCGGGUCGCGCGGCCCCGGAGCGGCCGGCAGGGGGCAGGCUGUCCCCGCGAGCCGGCCGUGUCCUCGCGUCACCCCGCCGCCUCCAGCCCCCGCGCCUCCUGAAGGGGCCACGCGGCCGCCUCUGCGCGGAGGGCGAGCGGCCCUUCCCCGGGGAGCCCUCUCCAUCAGCGCGGGCCCAAUAAUUUACGUUUAAUUUGGGAGCGG